UACGGAGGGGGCAAGCGUUAUUCGGAAUUACUGGGCGUAAAGGGCGUGUAGGCGGCCUAGCAGGUCAGAUGUGAAAUCCCCGGGCUUAACCCGGGAACUGCGUUUGAAACCGUUGGGCUUGAGGCUAGGAGAGGAAAGCGGAAUUCCUGGUGUAGCGGUGAAAUGCGUAGAUAUCAGGAGGAACACCGGUGGCGAAAGCGGCUUUCUGGACUAGCUCUGACGCUGAUGCGCGAAAGCGUGGGUAGCAAACGGG
This 253-nucleotide ribosomal RNA is filed under the name uncultured bacterium. RNAcentral's name for it is "partial 16S ribosomal RNA". It matches the Rfam family "Bacterial small subunit ribosomal RNA", at positions 524 to 776 of the family's 1533-position model. The record is from RNAcentral.